Molecule: ribosomal RNA, 499 nt
Filed under: uncultured bacterium
Lineage: Bacteria
Description: partial 16S ribosomal RNA
Rfam family: Bacterial small subunit ribosomal RNA
Source: RNAcentral
AUUGAACGCUGGCGGCAUGCCUUACACAUGCAAGUCGAACGGUAACAGGUCUACGGAUGCUGACGAGUGGCGAACGGGUGAGUAAUACAUCGGAACGUGCCCGAGAGUGGGGGAUAACGAAGCGAAAGCUUUGCUAAUACCGCAUACGAUCUCAGGAUGAAAGCAGGGGACCGCAAGGCCUUGCGCUCACGGAGCGGCCGAUGGCAGAUGAGGUAGUUGGUGGGAUAAAAGCUUACCAAGCCGACGAUCUGUAGCUGGUCUGAGAGGACGACCAGCCACACUUGGACUGUGACACGGCCCAGACUCCGACGGGAGGCAGCAGUGGGGAAUUUUGGACAAUGGGCGCAAGCCUGAUCCGGCCAUGCCGCGUGCAGGAUGAAGGCCUUCGGGUUGUAAACUGCUUUUGUACGGAACGAAAAGACUCUGGUUAAUACCUGGGGGCGCAUGACGGUACCGUAAGAAUAAGCACCGGCUAACUACGUGCCAGCAGCCGCCGUAA